UACGAAGGUUGCAAGCGUUACUCGGAAUUACUGGGCGUAAAGCGUGCGUAGGUGGUGAGUUAAGUCUGUCGUGAAAGCCCCGGGCUCAACCUGGGAAUGGCGAUGGAUACUGGCUCGCUAGAGUGCGGUAGAGGAGAGUGGAAUUCCCGGUGUAGCAGUGAAAUGCGUAGAGAUCGGGAGGAACAUCAGCGGCGAAGGCGGCUCUCUGGACCAGCACUGACACUGAGGCACGAAAGCGUGGGGAGCAAACAGG
RNAcentral lists this ribosomal RNA (253 nucleotides) under uncultured bacterium. RNAcentral's name for it is "partial 16S ribosomal RNA". It matches the Rfam family "Bacterial small subunit ribosomal RNA", at positions 524 to 776 of the family's 1533-position model. The record is from RNAcentral.